Molecule: ribosomal RNA, 600 nt
Filed under: Nesterenkonia sp. CY-C2-13
Lineage: Bacteria; Bacillati; Actinomycetota; Actinomycetes; Micrococcales; Micrococcaceae
Description: bacterial SSU rRNA
Rfam family: Bacterial small subunit ribosomal RNA
Source: RNAcentral
AUUAGUGGCGAACGGGUGAGUAUCACGUGAGUAACCUUCCCUUAACUCUGGGAUAAGCCCGGGAAACUGGGUCUAAUACCGGAUACGACCAGUCCUCGCAUGGGGUGCUGGUGGAAAGAUUUAUCGGUUUUGGAUGGACUCGCGGCCUAUCAGCUUGUUGGUGAGGUAAUAGCUCACCAAGGCGAUGACGGGUAGCCGGCCUGAGAGGGUGACCGGCCACACUGGGACUGAGACACGGCCCAGACUCCUACGGGAGGCAGCAGUGGGGAAUAUUGCACAAUGGGCGAAAGCCUGAUGCAGCGACGCCGCGUGCGGGAUGACGGCCUUCGGGUUGUAAACCGCUUUCAGCAGGGAAGAAGCGCAAGUGACGGUACCUGCAGAAGAAGCGCCGGCUAACUACGUGCCAGCAGCCGCGGUAAUACGUAGGGCGCGAGCGUUAUCCGGAAUUAUUGGGCGUAAAGAGCUCGUAGGCGGUUUGUCACGUCUGCUGUGAAAGCCCGGGGCUCAACCCCGGGUGUGCAGUGGGUACGGGCAGACUAGAGUGCAGUAGGGGAGACUGGAAUUCCUGGUGUAGCGGUGAAAUGCGCAGAUAUCAGGAGG